AUUGAACGCUGGCGGUAGGCCUAACACAUGCAAGUCGAACGGCAGCACAGUAAGAGCUUGCUCUUACGGGUGGCGAGUGGCGGACGGGUGAGGAAGACAUCGGAAUCUACUUUUUCGUGGGGGAGAACGUAGGGAAACUUACGCUAAUACCGCAUACGACCUACGGGUGAAAGCAGGGGAUCUUCGGACCUUGCGCGAUUGAAUGAGGCGAUGUCGGAUUAGCUAGUUGGCGGGGUAAAGGCCCACCAAGGCGACGAUCCGUAGCUGGUCUGAGAGGAUGAUCAGCCACACUGGAACUGAGACACGGUCCAGACUCCUACGGGAGGCAGCAGUGGGGAAUAUUGGACAAUGGGCGCAAGCCUGGUCCAGCCAUACCGCGUGGGUGAAGAAGGCCUUCGGGUUGUAAAGCCCUUUUGUUGGGAAAGAAAAGCAGCAGGUUAAUACCCCGCUGUUCUGACGGUACCCAAAGAAUAAGCACCGGCUAACUUCGUG
This 492-nucleotide ribosomal RNA is filed under the name uncultured bacterium. RNAcentral's name for it is "partial 16S ribosomal RNA". It matches the Rfam family "Bacterial small subunit ribosomal RNA", at positions 30 to 507 of the family's 1533-position model. The record is from RNAcentral.